RNAcentral lists this long non-coding RNA (1169 nucleotides) under Rattus norvegicus (Norway rat). RNAcentral describes it as "long non-coding RNA NONRATT006452". The record is from RNAcentral. Lineage: Eukaryota; Metazoa; Chordata; Mammalia; Rodentia; Muridae.
AGUUGUGAAGGGGGGAUAACAGGGAGGGAUGGGCUGGAGAUAACUAUCUGUGGACCACCAUUUAGGUCCUGGUGGCCUCUGGUGAUCCACAGGCUCCAUUUGAGAACCACUGACUUCAUGAAAAAACAGGCUAUGUAAGACCUAAAAUCAAGGGAGAGGACGGACAUCUCCUGCUGCGAAGAUGAGUGUUUCCUGGAAAAGAGGGGGAGAUGAACCUGGAAGGCCAAAUCCUUGUAGCUGUCUUCUUGCCCCGGUCAGUGCCAGCCGUACUAUUCACAACACUGCUGCUACCGAGGCCUAGGAUCAGUUCUUAAGAGCAGCCCCAGUAACUGGAGGAAUGGGAGCUGUGUUGAUGAGAAAAAUGGGCUGGAGAGAAGGAGAAGGACUAGGAAAGAACAAAGAAGGAAAUAAGGAACCCAUCCUUGUUGACUUUAAGACAGACCGAAAAGGUCUUGUUGCAGUAGGAGAGAGAGCACAAAAGAGGUCUGGGAACUUCUCCGCUGCAAUGAAAGACUUGUCAGGCAAACAUCCUGUGUCUGCCUUGAUGGAAAUCUGUAAUAAGAGAAGGUGGCAACCACCUGAAUUUCUCUUGGUCCAUGACAGUGGCCCUGACCAUCGCAAACACUUCCUCUUUAGGGUAUUGAUAAAUGGAAGCGCUUACCAGCCCAGCUUUGCCAGCCCUAAUAAGAAGCAUGCUAAAGCCACAGCAGCUACUGUGGUUCUUCAAGCAAUGGGCCUUGUACCAAAGGACCUCAUGGCUAAUGCCACUUGCUUCAGGAGUGCCUCACGUAGAUAGAUUGAGGUUUUAUAUUAAUCAUUUCAGAUAAUUUUACUCUGCAUCACAAUGUAUUUCCUCCUUAAUGUUGUAAAUAUUUCACAAUUUAAGACAUUGUGUAAAAAGCAAUCUGUACAAACAUCUCCAGGCUUUGGUUUUGUACCAUGGAAAUUGUAUUUAACCACACAGGGUUUUGGUAUGUUUAUAUUGUUUACCUUAGUGAUGUAUUUGUUUAAGUGGCUAACAUCAAAACAAUUGUUUGAGGGCAUCAGUAAUAUUCAGUGUGGAAUGUUAAAUAACGCUUUUAUACUGUAUUUUGUACUAUGAUGUAACUUCCCUUCCAUACGGCUAGGCUGCUGUAACACUUGCCUGUAAUCAGUGAAGGGCUGUGCAC